GUAGGUGGCAAGCGUUGUCCGGAACUUAUUGGGGCGUAAAGCGCGCGCAGGCGGUUCUUUAAGUCUGAUGUGAAAGCCCCACGGCUCAACCGUGGAGGGUCAUUGGAAACUGGAGAACUUGAGUACAGAAGAGGAAAGCGGAAUUCCACGUGUAGCGGUGAAAUGCGUAGAGAUGUGGAGGAACGACCAGUGGCGAAGGCGGCUUUCUGGUCUGUAACUGACGCUGAGGCGCGAAAGCGUGGGGAGCAAACAGGGAUUAGAUACCCUGGUAGUCCACGCCGUAAACGAUGAGUGCUAAGUGUUAGGGGGUUUCCGCCCCUUAGUGCUGCAGCUAACGCAUUAAGCACUCCGCCUGGGGGAUACGGCCGCAAGGCUGA
This 377-nucleotide ribosomal RNA is filed under the name uncultured organism. RNAcentral describes it as "partial 16S ribosomal RNA". It matches the Rfam family "Bacterial small subunit ribosomal RNA", at positions 527 to 897 of the family's 1533-position model. The record is from RNAcentral.